Molecule: ribosomal RNA, 253 nt
Filed under: uncultured bacterium
Lineage: Bacteria
Description: partial 16S ribosomal RNA
Rfam family: Bacterial small subunit ribosomal RNA
Source: RNAcentral
UACGAGGGGGGCGAGCGUUGUUCGGAAUUAUUGGGCGUAAAGGGUGCGUAGGCGGUUCCGCAAGUCCUGUGUGAAAUCUUCGGGCUCAACUCGAAGUCUGCACGGGAAACUGCGGGGCUUGAGUGUGGGAGAGGUGAGUGGAAUUCCCGGUGUAGCGGUGAAAUGCGCAGAGAUCGGGAGGAACACCCGUAGCGAAGGCGGCACUCUGGGCCGGUACUGACGCUGAGGAGCGAAAGCGUGGGGAGCAAACAGG